This is a long non-coding RNA of Lycium barbarum (goji berry), 504 nucleotides long. RefSeq lists it as uncharacterized. Lineage: Eukaryota; Viridiplantae; Streptophyta; Magnoliopsida; Solanales; Solanaceae. The record is from RefSeq and is a predicted model, not a curated record. The transcript is spliced from 3 exons.
GGCUAUCACGGUAAUAGAGGUCUUUAGUGUUAUAUCGUUGCAAAAUUACUUUGGGAACGAAUCCAAAACUAUUGCACAGAUCAGAAACGUUAACAAGGUUUUAUAUAUGUACAACAAUCAGUUUUUACCAUGAGAAUUAUUAGCAAGAGGCAGCAACAUGGUGUUAUAUCUUAAACAGGAAACGUAAAAUUCUUCUCAAGAAUAAUAUUUGGGUUUUGUCCACCGCUUCGAUCUUGUUGUUCCGUUUUAUCGUGUUGUUGAAUCCGGGCUUUCUUGAAAGUGAAGUAAGGUGGAAGAAGAGUACUUCUUUGCAUAUAAAUCUUGGGAAGCUUGAGACUUAAGUUUGGAUUAGCUUAAGAAGCGGACAAGCCCCAGAUUAUUUUGCAGGAAAGAUUAUACAGGAGACUGACUGUAGGGUAUUCUCAGGCUAUCAAACUCCAUUUCAUUCGGAGUAUGGCCGAGUCAGAGUAUUUCUUUAUGAUUUGAGUUAGAUGCAUUAUGGGU